UUUUCCAUUCCGUUGAAAUGCUCUAAAACGGAGCGUUUCAGACAGAACGUGAAUGAAAACCAUGAACUUGGCUGCCUGGUGCAUAGUAAUGAGCCCCGCUGCUGGUGGAUAUCGUUAGGCGAGAGAUGCUGCUUCCGAGGACAGCGUGGCUUGGCCAGACCUGAAUGUGCUGGGCUCUCGUCCCCUCCGGAUAUGGUCGCUCAGGGCCCAUCAUCCCUUAGACACAAAGAUCCUCUUCACAUCCUUCUCUAUCCCGUCCAUUGUGAAGGGCCCGCCUAGAGGCACACGGCUCCUGUGCCUUCUUCAGGGCUAAAUGCAUCUCCUGUCACUGGCUGGUAUCGGUGCCAGUUCAGCUGCUGGAAGCACUCAGGUGCUCAGGUCUCCACGAGUAAAAAAUCAGAGUUGCAUCCCAUGACAACAGCGAACCUCCUGGUGACAGCAUGAAAAACAAAGAUCUUCAGGGACAGUCGCAGUGGGAGCACUGAGGGGAGGGCUCGAAAUUCUCAUUAGUGAGCUGUUACUGGAAUGUGGAGCUGUAACAACAACUAACAAAUAUGUAUUACUCUAGUAAAGCUCUUUAACAUGUUUACCUGACUAAAUAUGUUUAAAGUAAAAGGCUACUGGCAACACUUUACAAUUCAGUUUCUCUACAAGUUUCAAUUUAUUUUAGACUAUAUAUUGAUUUGCUAGUUGUUGAGACGUAAAUAUGUUUGUGUUUGGAGAUAUUGCCUCUUCCACACAGCUCCAUGUCUUCUUUAAGCUGAUUCACACAUAAUCAUGAAGGGACUACUUAGUAACUACUCAGUAUGAUGUAUCACUUUAGAGAUUCCGGCUGAUUGGACCAAUUUAAAAAAAACAAUAACAAAUGUCAAACUCAGAUUAUGUGAUUUACUGUAGUGGGGAUUUUUAGCUCAAUUGUAUGAUUUGUUGAGGGUAAAUUUAAACUUUUAGUAAACUACAGCCCUCACAUGCUCUUCAGAGUAAAAAUCCAUUCUUUUAGCCUGCAUUUGAAAUCAGUAAAUCAUCUCGAAAACUGUGUUCUGCUAGCCUGAUAAAUCUUUUGUGCAGCUGAUGAUACACUUUUUUGUUUUUCAAAUAAAGUGCUAAAAGCAUAGUCAAGUGAAGACCAUGUACCAAGGAUGUAGUCAUACCCAGGGCCGUGGCAGGGGACAGAACUACGGGCGAGGAGGAGGAGGCAGAGGGAACGGCAAGGAUGACAAGAAAUGUUACAUCUGUAAAAAGAUUUGACAUUUUGCC
Long non-coding RNA from Sebastes umbrosus (honeycomb rockfish), 1257 nucleotides. RefSeq lists it as uncharacterized. Lineage: Eukaryota; Metazoa; Chordata; Actinopteri; Perciformes; Sebastidae. The transcript has 3 exons. The record is from RefSeq and is a predicted model, not a curated record.